Molecule: long non-coding RNA, 409 nt
Organism: Mustela erminea (ermine)
Lineage: Eukaryota; Metazoa; Chordata; Mammalia; Carnivora; Mustelidae
Exons: 3
Source: RefSeq, a predicted model, not a curated record
GAAUCUUCUGUCCUAAAGUCUCUGCAUGGCCGGCUCCUUCUCCAGAUUCAGAAACCACAAGAGAGGCUCUGGCUUAUGUUUUCCUCUUGCUGUCUCCUGACCCAGCCUGGUGCUUCCCUGCAAGACUCCCCACGAUGCGGGUGCCCCUCCUCUUGGGAUCCAUCAUGAAACUCUCGUGACCUGCAUGUGAGUGGUGCCCUCGUAAGUGGAGCCUUCUUAUGACUGAAGACCAGGGAAUCACCCAGAAAAACACCAACAAGCAAGCAUUGGUAGAUGCCUGCAGUUUACAACACCUACCUCACACUAUCAUGUCACUCCACGGCUGUCUGCUCUUCAUCAAACCUUGCAUAAACAUACACAAGUCCAUUCCUCUGGGUCUUCAUUUCCUUUUGGAGGCUCCCAUGUCACA